CGGCUGUAACCCGAGUGGGGGGAGUGUGCACGGACUGUGCGUGGAGGGCGUGGGGCCCAGCUUUUCCGGUGCCGAUCCCGCGCCGACUUCAAGGUGGCGGUCGCCAUUGUUGCCCUUCCGGAGGGAGGGGCACCUUGGGCGAUGGUGCAAGGCGUACCGCCUUAGGCUGGAAACAGAGCAAGGAAAAGUCUUCGCCGUCACCAGUGAAGCGACCACGUGGGUGAAU
RNAcentral lists this signal recognition particle RNA (226 nucleotides) under Hemiselmis tepida. RNAcentral describes it as "partial Protozoan signal recognition particle RNA". It matches the Rfam family "Metazoan signal recognition particle RNA", at positions 19 to 253 of the family's 299-position model. From Rfam's summary of the family: The signal recognition particle (SRP) is a universally conserved ribonucleoprotein. It is involved in the co-translational targeting of proteins to membranes. The eukaryotic SRP consists of a 300-nucleotide 7S RNA and six proteins: SRPs 72, 68, 54, 19, 14, and 9. Lineage: Eukaryota; Cryptophyceae; Cryptomonadales; Hemiselmidaceae. The record is from RNAcentral.